Alosa sapidissima (American shad) is the source of this 68-nucleotide small nucleolar RNA. The record is from RefSeq and is a predicted model, not a curated record. Lineage: Eukaryota; Metazoa; Chordata; Actinopteri; Clupeiformes; Clupeidae.
CUGGAGAUGAUGUAGAAAUCACUGCUGACUGUUAGUGAUGGUUGUAGUAUUCAUACUGGCUGAUCCAG